RNAcentral lists this ribosomal RNA (585 nucleotides) under Triticum aestivum (bread wheat). RNAcentral describes it as "partial small subunit ribosomal RNA". Lineage: Eukaryota; Viridiplantae; Streptophyta; Magnoliopsida; Poales; Poaceae. The record is from RNAcentral.
AUGUGGACCUGCCUUCGUCAGCACUAUGAGCCCUCUGGUGAUGCCUUAUAUCUUUCUGUGGUUCGUCAGGAGCAUGCUCUUCAGCAGGGUGACUCUACUGCUGAUGACUUUUAUGCACAGAGUUCUGCUAUCUGGCGCCAGCUUGAUUCUCUCCGCAGUGCUGGUUGUCGUACUUGCCCCUGCUGCCAGGCUGUCCAGGCCGAUUUGGAGUUUCAUCGCGUCUACAAGUUCCUGUCUCGGCUCCGUAAGGAGUUUGAGCCCCGGUGUGCUCAGUUGUUUGCUCGUGGCCGUAUUUCUCUCAUGGAGGCGCUUUCAGAGAUUCGUGCUGAGGAGACUCGCCUACGUGGUGCUGGUUUGCUGGAGGUUCCCUCUGUGCUCGCUACUCGGGUUUCUUCCACUCCAUCUGCUGCACAGCCCCAUUCUCGCUCGAGUGCUCCGCCGCUCUUGCCCACUCCUUCUGGAGGCUCAGGUCGGCCCCGUUCACAUUGUGACUACUGCAACAAUGAUGGUCAUAUUGAGUCCCAGUGCUACACAAAGCAGAAACACCUGCGCAAGGCGCGAUCAUCCUCCUCCGGGACUUCGUCA